This 69-nucleotide transfer RNA is filed under the name Raillietina sp. HL-2022. Its description in RNAcentral is "tRNA-Met". The record is from RNAcentral. Lineage: Eukaryota; Metazoa; Platyhelminthes; Cestoda; Cyclophyllidea; Davaineidae.
AGAUUAAUAAGUUAAAUUAUAAACUGUGGGGUUCAUGUCCCCAUAACAUACUGUAAGGUAUUUAAUCGG